ACUCAUUAGAUGUAAGAUGUAGUCU
Molecule: transfer RNA, 25 nt
Filed under: Myodes glareolus (Bank vole)
Lineage: Eukaryota; Metazoa; Chordata; Mammalia; Rodentia; Cricetidae
Description: partial tRNA-Ala
Source: RNAcentral